AACGAACGCUGGCGGCAUGCCUAACACAUGCAAGUCGAACGAGACCUUCGGGUCUAGUGGCGCACGGGUGCGUAACGCGUGGGAACCUGCCCUUAGGUUCGGAAUAACUCCCCGAAAGGGGUGCUAAUACCGGAUAAUGUCUUCGGACCAAAGAUUUAUCGCCUUUGGAUGGGCCCGCGUUGGAUUAGCUAGUUGGUAGGGUAAAAGCCUACCAAGGCGACGAUCCAUAGCUGGUCUGAGAGGAUGAUCAGCCACACUGGGACUGAGACACGGCCCAGACGGCGAGGGGCGGAGGUAGUGGAAUACAUGGCGCAGUAGGGCACAGCGUGACCGUGGCAGGCCGGGUGGGGGGAGCAGCACUGAGGUGUGACAACCUCUUGGACCGGGGAUGAUAAUGACAGGACGGGAAGAAUGAGCUCGGACAAGCCCGGUGCCAGCAGCCGAGGUAAGAAUCGAACAGCCCACGUUUGAAC
This 473-nucleotide ribosomal RNA is filed under the name uncultured bacterium. Its description in RNAcentral is "partial 16S ribosomal RNA". It matches the Rfam family "Bacterial small subunit ribosomal RNA", at positions 31 to 542 of the family's 1533-position model. The record is from RNAcentral.